CGCUACCAUGCAGUCGCACGAGAAAGGGAGCAAUCCCCGGUACAGUGGCGCACGGGUGAGUAACACGUGGACGACCUUCCCUGGAGUGGUGGAUAACCUGUCGAAAGGCGGGCUAAUACAGCAUGGGACCACGACGCUUUGGCGAUGUGGUGAAAGCGGGCUUCUGUUUACAUGCUCGCGCUCCGGGACGGGUCCGCGUCCCAUCAGCUAGUUGGUGAGGUAAUGGCUCACCAAGGCUACGACGGGUAGCUGGUCUGAGAGGAUGGCCAGCCACACUGGAACUGAGACACGGUCCAGACUCCUACGGGAGGCAGCAGUGGGGAAUCUUGCGCAAUGGGCGAAAGCCUGACGCACCGACGCCGCGUGGGCGAAGAAGGCCUUCGGGUUGUAAAGCCCUGUGGGAGAGAGCGAAAGGCCUUUCGGCGAAUACCCGGGAGGUUUGACGGUACUCUUUUAGCAAGCAUCGGCUAACUCUGUGCCAGCAGCCGCGGUAAGACAGAGGAUGCAAACGUUGCUCGGAAUUACUGGGCGUAAAGCGCGUGUAGGCGGUCUGGUAAGUCGGAUGUGAAAUCCCGGGGCUCAACCCCGGAAGCGCACUCGAUACUGCCGGACUAGGGUCCUGAAGAGGAGAGCGGAAUUCCCGGUGUAGAGGUGAAAUUCGUAGAUAUCGGGAGGAACACCAGUGGCGAAGGCGGCUCUCUGGGCAGGUACCGACGCUGAGACGCGAAAGCGUGGGUAGCAAACAGGAUUAGAUACCCUGGUAGUCCACGCUGUAAACGAUGACGACUGGGUGUUGCGGGUAUUGACUCCCGCAGCGCCGAAGCCAACGCGUUAAGUCGUCCGCCUGGGAAGUACGGCCGCAAGGCUAAAACUCAAGGAAUUGACGGGGGCCCGCACAAGCGGUGGAGCAUGUGGUUU
RNAcentral lists this ribosomal RNA (918 nucleotides) under uncultured bacterium. Its description in RNAcentral is "bacterial SSU rRNA". It matches the Rfam family "Bacterial small subunit ribosomal RNA", at positions 45 to 947 of the family's 1533-position model. The record is from RNAcentral.